RNAcentral lists this ribosomal RNA (492 nucleotides) under uncultured bacterium. Its description in RNAcentral is "partial 16S ribosomal RNA". It matches the Rfam family "Bacterial small subunit ribosomal RNA", at positions 29 to 507 of the family's 1533-position model. The record is from RNAcentral.
AGUGAACGCUGGCGGUAGGCCUAACACAUGCAAGUCGAACGGCAGCACAGUAAGAGCUUGCUCUUACGGGUGGCGAGUGGCGGACGGGUGAGGUAUACAUCGGAAUCUACUUUUUCGUGGGGGAUAACGUAGGGAAACUUACGCUAAUACCGCAUACGACCUACGGGUGAAAGCAGGGGAUCUUCGGACCUUGCGCGAUUGAAUGAGCCGAUGUCGGAUUAGCUAGUUGGCGGGGUAAAGGCCCACCAAGGCGACGAUCCGUAGCUGGUCUGAGAGGAUGGUCAGCCACACUGGAACUGAGACACGGUCCAGACUCCUACGGGAGGCAGCAGUGGGGAAUAUUGGACAAUGGGCGCAAGCCUGAUCCAGCCAUACCGCGUGGGUGAAGAAGGCCUUCGGGUUGUAAAGCCCUUUUGUUGGGAAAGAAAAGCAGCAGGUUAAUACCCCGCUGUUCUGACGGUACCCAAAGAAUAAGCACCGGCUAACUUCGUG